Nerophis ophidion (straightnose pipefish) is the source of this 1814-nucleotide RNA transcript. It is a transcript of the gene named ras-related protein Rap-2b-like, with no coding region annotated. The transcript has 3 exons. NCBI's taxonomy places the organism in Eukaryota, Metazoa, Chordata, Actinopteri, Syngnathiformes, Syngnathidae. The record is from RefSeq and is a predicted model, not a curated record.
UCCGUCAACAAGCGGAGGGGGGAAGCUCACACUUGCAGCCAGGAAGCUCGCAUUGGAAGCUGGCAGUCAGGCAGCUCACAGCUCGCAUGGCAAGCGGCGCAGCUCCGACAUGUCACAACACAAAUAAGCGCUGACUGCGGCCCGGAAAGCACCGCAUUUGCCCCCCCUGUACACCCCCGGUAGUCCGCGGCCACGCCCUGGAGCCCGAAGAAAAGUGCCGGCAGUGAUCGGGCGGAGGAAGCAUGCGGGAGUACAAGGUGGUGGUCCUGGGCUCCGGAGGGGUCGGCAAGUCGGCCCUGACCGUGCAGUUCGUGACGGGCUCCUUCAUCGAGAAGUACGACCCCACCAUCGAGGACUUCUACCGCAAGGAGAUCGAGGUGGACUCCUCUCCCUCCGUGCUGGAGAUCCUGGACACGGCCGGCACCGAGCAGUUCGCCUCCAUGCGGGACUUGUACAUCAAGAACGGCCAGGGCUUCAUCCUGGUCUACAGUCUGGUCAACCAGCAGAGCUUCCAGGACAUCAAGCCCAUGCGGGACCAGAUCAUCCGGGUCAAGCGCUAUGAGCGGGUGCCCAUGAUCCUGGUGGGCAACAAAGUGGACCUGGAGGCCGAGCGGGAGGUGUCCGGCGGGGAAGGGGAGGCGCUGGCCGAGGAGUGGAAGUGUCCCUUCAUGGAGACCUCGGCCAAGAACAAGAUCUCCGUGGACGAGCUCUUCGCGGAGAUAGUCCGCCAGAUGAACUAUGUCUCCUCCGCGCCAGAUGCUGACCACCCGUGUUGUGCGGCUUGUGUCCUCCUCUGAACACACACAACACUUCUCAUGCGACGCUUAUCCCGUUCAGUGUCACAGAUAAGCACAGCUGCACAUGUGAGAUGGGGGCCCACCCUGGACUGGGUCGCUAGAUCACAGAACUCCUACAGAAAUCCAUUCCCAGCCACAGUUACUACACCGCCAGUGAUCAGUGUGUCUGGGCCGGGCCUUGGAGGACGAAGAAGAGGAAUGGCGCCGAGGAGGAGGAGGAGGAGGGUUGAAUAACUGAGGCAGAGGGGAUGAGUCCGCUCUUGAGGAAUUCUGCUGGCUCGGAGAAUCUUUCCUGCGUGGUCAGUGUCCACAAUUGAGGUCUGAUCCCAAGUUGGAGCGACCGCCUCCCACCCACGACUUCCAGACGUGGAAACAAUAUAGAGAACAUUUAAAGAUGCUCUGAAAGUAUAUUUUGUUAAAGAACUGCACAGUCACUCCUGGAUGGGUACAACUUCAUGCUUCUUUUUUUGGUGGAGGACUAACCUGACAAUCUCCUGGGGUGUGGGAGGAGACUCCAGCUGACUCGACGUGGCGACCGCCUCACGUCCAGUGCCUUCCCCCCACCCUCACCCAACACACUUCAGCUGCUCCCAUUUAGUGCCAAGCCUCGAAAAACAAAAACCUCAGCGUGGCCAACCCACUCCUCUCUAGAUAGCCGCUUCAGGGCCGACCCUGGUUCUAAAGACUGCAGGGCUUCUGUUCACGGAAUGGUGCUUCUCGUCUCUUCUACCUUCUGGGUCUUUUGUCUUUUCCCCCGGGAUUGGCCUUGUUUCCUGCUUCAGCCAAACCUACAAGUCUUGAAACGCACAGGUACUGGAACAAUAAUAGUGACGCUUCCAGACCUCCUCAAUCAAUCAUACCUUUUGUAGGACACCUGAUGAUGAUGAUGAUGAUGAUGAUGUUGACAAAUCUAAUCUUGAUUGUAUGUUGAAUUUUAGGCCAGCCUUUUAACUGUGGGUGGUCUGUUUGAAAAAAACAACAACGUUUAAUACAGAUGACUUUUUUAAAGAAACAUGA